GCAUUGCCAAGCUAGUCUGGCAUGACUUUGCCUGUGACCUGUUGCCCUGAGAUGCAGCCCAGCGUAAAGCAGUCAAGUGGAGAAAGGUGAUGACCACGCUUAUUCUCUCAAGCCUUUGGACAGCCCAGUUUACCAGCAGAAGUGGCCAGAGGCACAACUCACUUCCGAAUCUGUACCACCAGGUUGGUGGCAUUAAACUGAUUAUUUUCUCUCCCCUCAGGUGCCAUCUGCUGAGCUAACAGAAACCAAUUGUUUGCUGAGUCCAACAAAGGGCAGCUCACAGCAAACUGAAAGUAUACUCAUUCUGGCAGUGCCUAAAGCACAGCCUCCAUCACCACUGCAAAGAGCAAGGCCUGAGGAUGUUACAGCCAACACACUGAGGUUUUUAGCAGCAGAAUUGCUUCUUCCCUCAAGAUUUCUGCAAAGGAACACGAGAGCAGAGAGAACAUUUUAACAAGGAGAUCUUCAACAGGUAGCUGACCAUGAAACAUGUUUGGCAGUACAGGUUUUCAGCUCUCCAGUCCUUUUUGCUAUUGGUUUGGGCAAAACUCAUCUGUGAAAAUGACAGCAUUCCUUGCAAAACUUGUGAAAAACCAAAGACUUUGCACAGGAAGGCAGAAGGGCUCAUGUUGGUGAUGGUGUCUCCAGCACUGUACCUGUAAGCCUCCAAACCCCACCUUAAGAACCUGACAUGCAAGGAAGCAGGAAACAGGGCUGCUGAAAGCAAGCACGAUGACCCAGGGCCACUGAAAGGAAGCAGGACCAGGCUGCACAGCCAGAAUCACUUCUGCAGGAUGGAGGUGAGCAACGGGGAACAAUGGGAUCAAAUGUAACAAAGGAGCAGGAGGAGAUUUGCAAAAUAAUGGAAGCAAUUUUGCAGAAGCACCACACUAAAGUGGACGGCUUUGAUUUAAGGAGACUUUUGGUGUGGGUCUCAUAACGUAGGAGUAGAUGGGGCUACGAUCUAUGACACAGAGAUGUGGGACAAAGCAGGAGUGAGGCUGUGGGAUGCAGCUGCGCGCUCUGACCCUGUGGCUGAAGACCUUUUGGGGCCCUAGAGAUCGUUUUACCCUUUAGACCCCAGGCCAGUGAGCCCGAGGAAGGAACCAGACUUGUACACGCCAAUCCAUGUGACUCUUGGCAUGCGGCCCACAAAGAAGUGGAGCAGCAGGGGGACUUCAAUGUGGUUCAGAGACUGCAUUCAGCUCUCGCCUGCCCUGUAAUUUAUGAACCUAAUAGGCACCCUAGAUGGGAGGAUAUAAGCUUUCAAAUAAUAAAAGCUCAGGAAAGCAGUCCUUGGAUUCGGGC
RNAcentral lists this long non-coding RNA (1308 nucleotides) under Numida meleagris (helmeted guineafowl). RNAcentral describes it as "lncRNA (ENSNMEG00000009639.1)". Lineage: Eukaryota; Metazoa; Chordata; Aves; Galliformes; Numididae. The record is from RNAcentral.